This 202-nucleotide ribosomal RNA is filed under the name uncultured soil bacterium. RNAcentral's name for it is "partial 16S ribosomal RNA". It matches the Rfam family "Bacterial small subunit ribosomal RNA", at positions 26 to 232 of the family's 1533-position model. The record is from RNAcentral.
AGCCUGAACGCUGGCGGCGUGGCUAAGACAUGCAAGUCGUACGGGCCGUAGCAAUACGGUCAGUGGCGGACGGGUGAGUAAUGAAUCGCUAACGUGCCCCAUAGUUCGGGAUAGCCGUCCGAAAGGGCGGGUAAUACCGACAUGACAUCGCCGGGAGGCAUCUCCUGGCGCUCAAAGGGGAAACCGCUGUGGGAGCGGGGCU